RNAcentral lists this ribosomal RNA (429 nucleotides) under Pseudomonadota bacterium. RNAcentral's name for it is "Proteobacteria bacterium partial 16S ribosomal RNA". It matches the Rfam family "Bacterial small subunit ribosomal RNA", at positions 355 to 776 of the family's 1533-position model. Lineage: Bacteria; Pseudomonadati; Pseudomonadota. The record is from RNAcentral.
UGGGGAAUAUUGGACAAUGGGCGAAAGCCUUAUCCAGCCAUGCCGCGUGUGUGAAGAAGGUCUUCGGAUUGUAAAGCACUUUAAGUUGGGAGGAAGGGCAGUAAGCGAAUACCUUGCUGUUUUGACGUUACCGACAGAAUAAGCACCGGCUAACUCUGUGCCAGCAGCCGCGGUAAUACAGAGGGUGCAAGCGUUAAUCGGAAUUACUGGGCGUAAAGCGCGCGUAGGUGGUUCGUUAAGUUGAAUGUGAAAGCCCCGGGCUCAACCUGGGAACUGCAUCCAAAACUGGCGAGCUAGAGUAGGGCAGAGGGUGGUGGAAUUUCCUGUGUAGCGGUGAAAUGCGUAGAUAUAGGAAGGAACACCAGUAGCGAAGGCGACCACCUGGGCUCAUACUGACACUGAGGUGCGAAAGCGUGGGGAGCAAACAGG